This 233-nucleotide long non-coding RNA is filed under the name Elaeis guineensis (African oil palm). RNAcentral describes it as "long non-coding RNA (EGUI_LNC000854)". Lineage: Eukaryota; Viridiplantae; Streptophyta; Magnoliopsida; Arecales; Arecaceae. The record is from RNAcentral.
UUCCAAAAGAUGCCUCUCUCUCUCUCUCUCUCUCUCUGUAUAUCUCUCUGCCUAUAAAAUCCAAUCCUUGCGAGCAACAAGCGCGCAUCGUCCCCGAAAAAGGGUCAUUAAGACGAGGGAAAAAAUAGUACAAUAAUAGCCAUUCACAAAAGUUAUCCCCUCCAUCUCUCUCCCUCCUUGAGAACUGGGUUCUCUUGACCAUUGUGGGUAUAGCACUGCAAUGUGACCGCCAC